This is a long non-coding RNA of Xenia sp. Carnegie-2017, 152 nucleotides long. RefSeq lists it as uncharacterized. The record is from RefSeq and is a predicted model, not a curated record. Lineage: Eukaryota; Metazoa; Cnidaria; Anthozoa; Malacalcyonacea; Xeniidae. The transcript has 2 exons.
CAACUUUCAUCUGCCAGGGACGAUUUUGUAAAGUUAAGAAGCGAACUUAAUGUCCAGGAUUCAGACUUGGACGACUCGAUAAUGCAGUGGAAAGAAGAAGUUCAACAAUUUGCGAGAGAACAACAAAUUGGAGUUUCUUCGUUGAAAGGUGC